GUGAUUGCUUUGGCAGUACGUGAACUAAAAUUGGAACAAUACAGAGAACAUUAGGAUGGCCCCUGCAUCGAGGAUGACGCCAAAGUUUGUGAAGCAUUCCAUAUUAUU
Molecule: small nuclear RNA, 108 nt
Organism: Antechinus flavipes (yellow-footed antechinus)
Lineage: Eukaryota; Metazoa; Chordata; Mammalia; Dasyuromorphia; Dasyuridae
Source: RefSeq, a predicted model, not a curated record